UCCUGUAGUCUGACACCUGGAGUAAAACCCCUUCAAGGGAUGCUAGCGCAUGACUUAUGGGAUCAUUUUGAAACUGCAGAUUCCCAAAAUACUUCUGUGCUUGGUACAAGAGUGCAACUGGAGACUUUUUGAGACUGGGCUAUUCUGGACAGGUCUGUUCACUCUGUGGCAGCGUGACAGCGGGAAUAAGGGAAUUGGGAAUGAUGACGUCUUUAUUAGAGCAGACUAUUUGGUAGGGAAAUAUCCUCUCACCCUGCACUGUGCUGACAGACCCAGAUGAAUCACCCCCGUUUAUUCUGCUGAUGCUGCAGGUAUGCGAGAGCCAGGAAUUUAAUAUGCGGCCGGUGGGAGAGAGGAACUACGGGUGCUGGAGAGGAUCAAUAAUUGAAAGGUCACAGUGGUCACAAGGUUCAGAGUGGCUGAACUGUUGUGUGUGCAGGUAUAUGAGGAGCUCAUUGUUUGUGUG
This is a long non-coding RNA of Rhinichthys klamathensis goyatoka, 466 nucleotides long. RefSeq lists it as uncharacterized. NCBI's taxonomy places the organism in Eukaryota, Metazoa, Chordata, Actinopteri, Cypriniformes, Leuciscidae. The transcript has 3 exons. The record is from RefSeq and is a predicted model, not a curated record.